This 250-nucleotide ribosomal RNA is filed under the name uncultured bacterium. Its description in RNAcentral is "partial 16S ribosomal RNA". It matches the Rfam family "Bacterial small subunit ribosomal RNA", at positions 355 to 598 of the family's 1533-position model. The record is from RNAcentral.
CCGAGAAUCUUCCGCAAUGGGCGCAAGCCUGACGGAGCGACGCCGCGUGGAGGACGAAGGCCUUCGGGUUGUAAACUCCUGUCACGGGUUAUGAAUGGCGGCUGGUGAACAGUCAGUCGUUUGACGUAAGCCCGAGAGGAAGCACUGGCUAACUCUGUGCCAGCAGCCGCGGUAAUACAGAGAGUGCAAACGUUGUUCGGAAUCACUGGGCAUAAAGCGCGCGUAGGCGGCGCCACAAGUGCGGGGUAAA